ACUCCUACGGGAGGCAGCAGUGGGGAAUAUUGCACAAUGGGCGCAAGCCUGAUGCAGCCAUGCCGCGUGUAUGAAGAAGGCCUCGGUUGUAAAGUACUUCAGCAGUGAGGAAGGUGGAGUCGUUAAUAGCGGCCUCAUUUGACGUUAGCUGCAGAAGAAGCACCGGCUAACUCCGUGCCAGCAGCCGCGGUAAUACGGAGGGUGCGAGCGUUAAUCGGAAUUACUGGGCGUAAAGCGCGCGUAGGCGGCUUGAUAAGCCGGUUGUGAAAGCCCGGCUGCAACCUGGGAACGGCAUCCGGAACUGUCAGGCUAGAGUGCAGGAGAGGAAGGUAGAAUUCCCGGUGUAGCGGUGAAAUGCGUAGAGAUCGGGAGGAAUACCAGUGGCGAAGGCGGCCUUCUGGACUGACACUGACGCUGAGGUGCGAAAGCGUGGGUAGCAAACAGGAUUAGAUACCCUGGUAGGCUCUG
This 468-nucleotide ribosomal RNA is filed under the name uncultured bacterium. RNAcentral describes it as "bacterial SSU rRNA". It matches the Rfam family "Bacterial small subunit ribosomal RNA", at positions 335 to 799 of the family's 1533-position model. The record is from RNAcentral.